CUGAAUUUUUACUCAGUUUUUGUUAAAAAAUAAAUUUCAAAUGAAUAAAACGAGCACAUGUAGGUUGGAUACUGCCAUUAAAGUACGACUACAAAUAAAAUAUUAAGCAAUUUGAGAAACCUUAUGUGGAACGUUAAUCAAAUGUUAAAUAAGCAAAAUUCAUCUAAAAACAACAAAUGGAUAUUAUUUAGACAUUAGUUUCAUUUAAUGUUAUUACAUUGUAUAAAUUAAACGUACUAUUCUUUAACUGUCUAAUCAAGCAUGGAUAGAUGAUCAAAGAUAUCAUUACUGUAUGUUUACUAUGAACACUUGAUCUAGGUGGAUUAAUUUAUUUGGCGUGCCUAAU
This is a non-coding RNA of Schizosaccharomyces pombe (fission yeast), 346 nucleotides long. The record is from the annotation of a GenBank genome assembly. Lineage: Eukaryota; Fungi; Ascomycota; Schizosaccharomycetes; Schizosaccharomycetales; Schizosaccharomycetaceae.